UAUGCGUGUGUGUACGCCACGAUCUUCGAAAGGUUCCUGCGAACUUUGACUCGAGUAGUGGAUACAUCAAACUUGUGUGGUUAGUUUAAUUCUUAGAGUGGCAUGAAAUGCUUGAAUUUGUCUAAAUAGAUACUUCGAGUGAUCCGAGAAGAUGAAUGUGGAUACCUAGCAUCUUCUAACGUACCUGGUUGACGGAACGCUUCCAACUACUUAAGUGGGGCGCCUUAAGGUUCGACAAAUGGUGCGUGAUUUCAUUGUUAAAGAUAACCCCCCCAAUAAAAUAUAUGCGCCUGGUCAUCAAGUCAAAGGGGAAGCGCACUAUCUUCAUGGAGUGUCACAAUAACUCUGGUACUGGGAACGAGAGCGACGUCGAGGGCACCCGCAACAGAGCCAUUUCUAGCUUCUCUCGGCCAACAAUGAUUCAGGACAUCAAUGAAUGGGCAUCGGCAUAGAUUUGCCUUCUGGACAGAGAAAGUGUCCCCUCUCCUUCAGGGAACUCUACAGCCUGUCUUCAGGGUUCCAAAGGCAACCCCUCUAUAUCUUACUAAACUUCAAUCAGACAG
Long non-coding RNA from Corythoichthys intestinalis (scribbled pipefish), 563 nucleotides. RefSeq lists it as uncharacterized. Lineage: Eukaryota; Metazoa; Chordata; Actinopteri; Syngnathiformes; Syngnathidae. The record is from RefSeq and is a predicted model, not a curated record. The transcript is spliced from 3 exons.